UUAUUUUGGUGUAGUCCCAACAGUUUAAUUUUGCCAUUUGUUUCCCUUGCCAAAGAAGACAGAUCUAGAAAAAUGUUUUGAUAGCAGGUGUCAAAGAGAUUACUACCUAUGUUUCUUGUAGGAAUUUUAUGGUUAUAGGUCCUACAUUAGGCCUCUAAUCCAUUUUGAGUUUAUUUUUGUGUACCAUGUAAGAAAGGCGUCCAGUUUGAUUCUUUUCAGUCUAGCUGUUCAGUUUUUCCAACAUCACUUAUUGAAGAGACUGUCUUUCACCCAUUGUAUAUUCUUGCCUCCUUUGUCAUAGACCAAUUGACCAUAAAAUCAUGGGUUCAUUUCUGGGCUCUUUAUUCUGUUCCAUUGAUCUAUUUGUCUAUUUUGUCCCAGAACCAUACUGUUUGGAUUCCUACAGUUCUUCAGCAUGUAUUGAAAUCUGGGAUUGUGACACCUCCAACAUUGCUUUGGCUAUUCAG
This is a long non-coding RNA of Herpailurus yagouaroundi (jaguarundi), 467 nucleotides long. RefSeq lists it as uncharacterized. The transcript is spliced from 3 exons. The record is from RefSeq and is a predicted model, not a curated record. Lineage: Eukaryota; Metazoa; Chordata; Mammalia; Carnivora; Felidae.